GAAUAUGAUAAAGGCCAUCAGAGGAGUACUAACAAACCAGUAUUAGUAGGUCACUUAGUAAUUAAUUAUUAACUAAUUGACAACAGAUUAAUGGAGGAAGAAAUUAUAUAAGCAGAGGGCUCUGGAAAGCCUUUUCUCCCUUUCAGGGAGAGGGAUCAUUGAGAAAGAUGAAAAAAAAAAAAAGUGAAGAAAAGAGAAGUAGGAGGAGAAGAGACAGGGGAGGAGGAGGAACUUGCAGACAAGAGGCAGGAAAAGUGAGUCCAUGGGUAUAGAAGCGGGUGUGGUAAGCAUAUCACCACGAUAGUAAAGCCUUUUUAUGUUUUUUUUCAAACAGUGGUCUUCUCCACAGUGGUCUCCUUUAUCUCCUAAUUGUGAGGCCACACACUUAUUCCGCACUUAAACCAAGCUGCCAUUGCCCAAACAUUUGAGAAAAUGGCAUCUCCCUAGGAAUAUGCUAAAUGGUGGAAAAAACAAAAAAAAAGAGCCAGUGAAUUGUUAUCAGAAUCCUGGGUUCAAGUCCUCUCAGUACUACUCAGGAGCUGGGAGAUUCAGGGCAAUUGCUGAUCCUGAAUUGCAGAGUUGGACACGUGUAGAAGUGGGUGAUGAGACACGGCCCAGAGCUGCUUUGAGGACUGCAUGAGAAAAUUAAGACAGUUCAGUUCAGUUGCUCAGUCGUGUCUGACUCUUUGCGACCCUGUGGACUGCAGCAUGCCAGGCCUCCCUGUCCAUCACCAACUCCUGGAGCUUGCUCAAACUCAUGUCCAUCGAGUUGGUGAUGCCAUCCAACCAUCUCAUCCUCUGUCAUCCCCUUCUCCUCUUGCCUUCAAUAUUUCCCAGCACCAGGGUCUCUUCCAAUGAGUCAGUUCCAAUGAAGACAGAGAGCUGUGCAAGUCUGACUGGACAGGGUUUGGUCUUUGAGGCAACAAAGAGCCACUCAGGACCCGGAGCCUGGCACCGGCAAGCACUCAAACCAAGGUAAAGUGGAGCAAACCUUUUUUUCUUCACAAUCUCCCACACUGAUCCCACUGUCUCUCUCUCUCCCAAAGGGAAACCUCCAAAGCUCCCAAGUGAAAUAGUAGUCAUAGUGGGACCUCCACCUGUGCUCUGCCCCUCAAAGGUGAGCACAGAGCAUCCUGAGCUGGACCUACUUGCCUGCUCAUGUUCCAGACAAACUUGGGGCCAUUUCCUUUCUGCUCCCUGCUAGCUCUCCACCUCAAGGGAUCACAACCGGAGCCUCAGUGACCCAUGAGCCACCACUGCCAUCUUCACAACAAGACUGAAGUCAGCAAGUCAGCUCACCUCCACCCAGAUAAUUCAUUCCAACCAUGAUGAGAAAUGUUCAGAAAAGCAGAGUGUCUGUAAGCACGGAGAAUAAGACUCAAACAAAAACAUCAGAUCUUCCUGGGUCUCAAGCUUCCUGGCUUUUGGACUGAAUCUACAUCAUCAGCUCCUCUGGGUCUCAUGCCUUCAGACUCCAACCACAGUAACACCAGUGGCUUCCUGGGUCUCCUGACUUACCCUGCAGAUCUCAGAACUUACCAGUCUCCAUAAUUACCUGAACCCAUUCCUCAUUAUAAAUAUCUUUCUAUAUUUAUAAAUACACAUCCUACUGGUUCUGUUUCUUUAGAGACUCUCUCUAACACAGCCUUUAAUGGAAAAGCCUGAGCUGAGCUCCCAGCUGUCAGCCAUGUGUGUGACCCAUCUCAGUCAUUCUAGCCCAGCGGCACCCUCAGGUGACUACAGCCAACACCAUAUGGGGUGGAUGCACCACCCAGCUGAGCCCAGUCAGCCCAGUGAGACAGCAAAUGGGUGCUGCUGUCCUAAGUCCCUCAGUGUGGGGUGAUUUGCGAUGCAGCAACAGAUAACGAAAUCAGGGCAGAGUCCUGGUGUGCUGGCAUAAAGAAGACCAGUGUAAGUGAGCAGAGAGCACACAGGGGUGGAGAGAGCAGCAGAAGAAAGGAGUGAAGAGGGAAGCAGUGCCAGAUCAUGCAUGAUCUUGUAGGCAUGGAAGUUUCAGUUAAGAGUUUGAUGUUUUAUUCACCUUCAUUUUCAUCUGUCUUUUCCACCUCAUCUUUUUGUCUUUAGCCCCAGGUUUACUUCCAAAGUGGUAUUUGGAAUUAAGCACCAUGAGGGUCACCACUGCCAAUACACAAGUAUGAACUAUCCUCCAUCACUUCUGCAGGUAUGAAUUUUUCACACUCAAGAGUCCAAGUAAGUCAUGUG
This is a long non-coding RNA of Bos taurus (domestic cattle), 2223 nucleotides long. Lineage: Eukaryota; Metazoa; Chordata; Mammalia; Artiodactyla; Bovidae. The record is from Ensembl.